This is a long non-coding RNA of Melospiza melodia melodia, 4290 nucleotides long. RefSeq lists it as uncharacterized. Lineage: Eukaryota; Metazoa; Chordata; Aves; Passeriformes; Passerellidae. The record is from RefSeq and is a predicted model, not a curated record. The transcript has 4 exons.
CGGGGAGGAGCGGCCGCGGCCCCGCGGGAGUCCCUCGCGCACGGACCCGGAUCGCCAGCCGACUCCCAGACGGGAACGCCGCUUCUCUUCGCCUCCUCCGCGUCCCGGCGCGUUUUCCUCGCCAGCGCUCGAGGAGCAGCAGCAGCGGGGCUGGCAGCCCGGAGCGGCCCCGGUGACUCGGAGCUGCAGUGCGCGGUGUCAGCCUGCCGAGCCGCCCCCGGGCUCGGUAUCUGCCUCACCGCGCUGCCAGCUCCAUAGCCACGGCUUGGCACCGCUCCACCUCUCGGUGGGGAGCUGGCAGCGUCCCGCUCGUUCCCCAGCCCGGGGCCGUGUGGCGGCGGCGGCUGCGGAGCGCGGUCGGAGCCCAUGCGGCGGCAUUGAGGACUGAGGAGCGGCUGAGGUGCGCAAGGCUGACGGAUGCUGAAACACGAAGAUGAUUUAGCAAAACGCGAUCGAGGCUAGGGGAGAACACUGAAAAGUUAACUGGUAUUACCUCAUUUUGUGCUGACCCCUACACUAUGAACACAUACUGGUUUUGCUGUCACCUCAGACCAGUGGUGAAUACGAAGACUGUGGCCACUGAACUGCAUUUCUCUCUAUAAAGCAGCUUUAAAAUAACCAUCCAGAUGGCAGACAAGCAAGCAGUGGUGAUUGCCUGCAUUUUGGAAUUUUGACCUCAGCACCAUUGCAGACAGCUGUGGCUAAAGGUGAAAAUGAAACUCCUCUGUACAUGAUAAACCAAAGCCCUAGGAAUCAUCUCUCAGUAUUUUAACUGGCUGAGAUUUCAGGAGGUAGUACUGUUGCUCCAUCUGAAACACAAGUUUGCCUAAAUGCAACCCUCUGUAGUAAUAGUUGCUGCUGCUCCUUCCUCCUCGAGAAGGGUUAUUGCCUGCCCCAGGGCCUCCACCAAAGGCUUCCUCCCUGUGGAAUCCAUCGUGGUGGUCUCCAUCUAGAGAACUGGACCUCCCAGAUUUCGGCGCUCUCUGUGAAGGUCCCGAAUUUCCUCGUCCUGCAAAGGAAGCAUAGCCAGUUACUGGUGUGAGUUUGAGCUGAGUCUCUUCUCAGACAUGCCAGACACUGAGCUGCUUCUACUGUGGUGCCAUCAUUCAUAAACCAGCUGCAGCUGAGACCUGCAAUUUUAUGCCUCCUCCCUCAGUACAAUUUUCUUACACAGAUUUAGUGUCUCCAUUACAGUUCAGAAAGUGGACAACAAUCAAUUCGUUGGGAAUUAGAGGAGCUUGUAUUUGAUACUGUCAGCAGGCACUGAAAUGAAGUCAGAAUAAUGAUAGCUUUUCCUCCAAAACUGCCAGUUCUUGUGCUAACAAUGUGGUUCUCUCCAUGUUUUCAUUGCAAAAUACUUUUUUUUUAAUCCUAAACAAAGACAUUGCACUGUUGACAAAUUGAGACAGUUGAGGCUGAUGGUGAAGAUCGUGAGUAACAUUACUGUUUUGUUCAAUUUUUUGCUAAAAGUAAUAGAAAAAUGCUUUAUUUUACUACUAACCUGGAACAAAAAGUACUCAAGCUCUUACUGCCAGGAAUGGAAUGUUCUAAUUCUCACAGAACAGAAUUUUCUAAUUCUCACAUACCUUUUCCUUUUAUAUAUUUCCUAUGAACAACAAAAAACCCCAACCCAAUUCAUUAGCCUAUAAUAAGAAGCAGUAUUUUGAGAAAACAAAAUCAGUUGUAACUUUGUUUAAGGACACAUACUACAGCUAAAUUCAGGUAUUUUUGCUGCACUUUAGCAAGAGUGAUUUUUGUUGACUGGAUGGUUCCAUGUAAAACAGUCACCAAAUUGUUUCACAGAAACAUUCAUGAAGUUUUAAUCUCAAAAGACUUUCCCAAUACAACUGAAGGUGACACAGACCACAUAUGAAGAAUUGUUCAUGGUUUAUCAGGCUUUCUGCCAUCAUUCUAAACUUUCUUUAGCACAUUAUGAAUUAAUUACACACUUGUGCCUGGAAAACAAUUGUUUUGACUUUAACAAAGAAUCUGACAGAGUUACCACAAUCAUUACUGAAGCUGGAAAAGGAAUCUUUACAGAUUUGAUAGAUGCUGGCUAAAUUGAGAACUGCAGCAUGUGAUAUGGAAGGAAAAAUAAUGAUAGAGAAGUUUUAUCAGCAGAAGUUUUAUCAGAGAAGUUUUAUCAACCUGGGAACAGAGUCCAUGCAGAGGGGGAGUGACAGGCAGUUAAAACUGAAUGAGCUCUCACAGUGGUGAGAGAAGUGGGCUGGGAUUCAGUGUUCAAUGGCAUCAGAGACAAAGCUGUGCAGUCUGACAGCAACAAAUCCAGCUGCAGGCUGCCAGCUCAGCAGCCAAAUGAGAAGGAUGUUUGUCACUGAUCACUACCUGACAGUGGGUAGUCAAUGUGAGGACAUUAAAGUAUUUACACAAGAGAACAGAAGCCCUGAGAUCUGUAAGAAAUAGGAUCAAGAACUGGUGUGAUGCUAACAGCACUGACUCCAAAAGAAUGUGUUCUGUGGGUUACAGAAACAUGGGACCACUUAGAGGGAACUACAACACCAGGAACUGUGAGGAAAGAAUGGAGAAAGUGGAACAAGUACAAGAGAACUGUAGAAAUGCAUGGUUACACCACAUCUUAAACAGUGUGUGCAAUUCCUAGUUACCUCAUUUAAUUUAGAAAAGGAUAAUUUCAAACUCAAAAUAGCGCAUACAGAGUAACAAGGAUAGUGAAAGAGAACAGUUUCUAGAAAGAAGAAAAAAAUCAGAGCUCUGACUUGGAGAAGAGCUGGUUCAGGCUGGAAGUGGUGGAGUUCAGUGCAAUCAGAGGUGGCAUUCAGUAAUAACAGGAACCAACAUUCAUUACCACACAAGACAUCAAAUUAAAUUAGUGAAUGAUAAGUAUAGAUCAAGGGAAAAACAAUUUCCCUCUUUUUCUUUUAAAGCAUAGUCUGCUUCAAUUAAGUUUUAGAAGUCUGUCCAUGGAUGUUGUAUAUAUCAAAAGUUUAGAUGAUUCUUACACAAAAGGUAACUGGAAAGCCAUUAAAUAUAAAAAAAAUGUUUUAGUAAGUGAGAUCUUAGAGGUUUAGAGAGCACUUCAGGGACAUAUCACUCUAGGCUCAAUGUUCUUAAAUUUGAGUUAAAGAAUAACAUCACAAGCAUUAAUAUUAAUAAACAACUAUUCUGAAGAUGAGAGAAAAAUGCUCUUAAUGAGUUUUCCAGCUGGAGUAACAGGGAAUCAAAAACCAACUACUUUUCAACAGGGUAAUAAAGAAGAGGAUUCUGCAGUGCUGGAGACAAGAUUUGGAUUUGAUGUUUGAAAAUCCCUCUGUUCUUAUGUUCCUGUAAGACUGGUCUGUAACUUCCCAGCUGGUAACAUCAGAUAUUUACCAGCUCAGCUUUAUCCCCUCUGAACAGAGAAGUUCUGGAUACACUUAAUACUGAAAAUACAUUCCAGUGUUACAUAAGGGUUGCAAUCAAAGGGGCUUUUUACCUUUGCCCCUCUCCUCUGGAGGGCCACCUGGAGCAUCCAUGUCCCUGUGGUCAGAGGUUCCUGGUCCAUCGUGCCAGGGACGUUUCCGUGGUGGCAGUGAGGCCAUGUCCAUGCCCUGGAGUGAGGAGGAACGUUCUCUGUUGGCUGGAGAGUGCCCAUCAUGAGGAGGGUGAUCUGGACGAGGACCUGUGCAUGAAAACACAAGAUAAGAGUCUGGUUUCCUCCCUCCUUCGAAGCGUGGGAAUUCAUCUGGAGUAGGAAGCAAACCCUUCCGAGCUCCUGAGCAGUAAGAGAAGCAGGGGACAGGAGUGAGAAGAGACAUUGUAUUCAUGAAAAUAAUGUCACCUGCCCAAGAAGUGCCUUUCCUUCCUCAUCCUUGUGUUUCUGUGUGGAAGAACAUUGCCCUUACCUCUCGGAGCACCUCGCCCUCGCCCCCGAGCACCAUGGUCCCUUCCUCUGGAGUUUUCAUCUGGAGAGUCAAAAGCAUCAUCUGGCCCAAAAUCUUCAGGGCCAGGGAAGCCAUCUCUGCCCCUGGGUCCCCGGCCCUCGUGCCUCGAGGGUCCUCCUCUUCGGAAGCUACAACAAAGAACAGGAUACAAACGUGGCUUUUAGGCAUAAUUGAGGCAGUUUCAUUAUCAGCUCAUUUCUAAACUGUUUCACUUAAUGCUACAGCACAUACAGUUACUAGAACAGGAUUUGUAGGUGAAAGUGCUCAUUUCUGCCUUUGAGCACUUUGAUAGUAAGCUUUGUAAUCUUCCUCUCAUAUUUCGUUCCACGAUUAUGUUGGUUUUUCAUACAAGAAAAAUAUUAUUAAACACAGUGCAUUCAUUUAAUGAAAA